GUAGGUGAACCUGCGGAAGGAUCAUUAACACGUAUCCAAACGUAAACCCCCCCGUGAAUAUUAAUGGUUGCUCUCCUCUUUGGCCUGUGAUGGUCUUGCACUAUGCUGCGCGCCCCGCUGGUAUCUCACAUGUUUGUUAUGACUCAGCGUGCCGCGCAGUAGCGAGGUUAUCUCAGCACAAAUUGGAUAUGAUGCGGCACUGUUACAAGUACUGGCUCGGUUGCCCCUGUUCCUGGUCUGAAAGUGUCCG
Molecule: unclassified non-coding RNA, 250 nt
Filed under: plant metagenome
Description: partial contains small subunit ribosomal RNA, internal transcribed spacer 1, and 5.8S ribosomal RNA
Source: RNAcentral